RNAcentral lists this ribosomal RNA (449 nucleotides) under Yokenella regensburgei. Its description in RNAcentral is "bacterial SSU rRNA". It matches the Rfam family "Bacterial small subunit ribosomal RNA", at positions 30 to 473 of the family's 1533-position model. The record is from RNAcentral. Lineage: Bacteria; Pseudomonadati; Pseudomonadota; Gammaproteobacteria; Enterobacterales; Enterobacteriaceae.
UUGAACGCUGGCGGCAGGCCUAACAACUGCAAGUCGAACGGUAGCACACGAGAGCUUGCUCUCGGGUGACGAGUGGCGGACGGGUGAGUAAUGUCUGGGAAACUGCCUGAUGGAGGGGGAUAACUACUGGAAACGGUAGCUAAUACCGCAUAACGUCGCAAGACCAAAGAGGGGGACCUUCGGGCCUCUUGCCAUCAGAUGUGCCCAGAUGGGAUUAGCUAGUAGGCGGGGUAACGGCCCACCUAGGCGACGAUCCCUAGCUGGUCUGAGAGGAUGACCAGCCACACUGGAACUGAGACACGGUCCAGACUCCUACGGGAAGGCAGCAGUGGGGAAUAUUGCACAAUGGGCGCAAGCUGAUGCAAGCCAUGCCGCGUGUGUGAAGAAGGCCUUCGGGUUGUAAAGACUUUCAGCGGCGAGGAAGGGGUACGGUAAUAACCGUCCCNUUG